This 345-nucleotide unclassified non-coding RNA is filed under the name soil metagenome. Its description in RNAcentral is "partial contains 5.8S ribosomal RNA, internal transcribed spacer 2, and large subunit ribosomal RNA". The stretch from base 1 to 120 matches the Rfam family "5.8S ribosomal RNA", at positions 35 to 154 of the family's 154-position model. The record is from RNAcentral.
GAUGAAGAACGUAGCGAAAUGCGAUACGUAAUGUGAAUUGCAGAAUUCAGUGAAUCAUCGAGUCUUUGAACGCACAUUGCGCCCCCUGGUAUUCCGGGGGGCAUGCCUGUCCGAGCGUCAUUGCUGCCCUCAAUCACGGCUUGUGUGUUGGGCCUCCGUCCUCCUCCCGGGGGACGGGCCCGAAAGGCAGCGGCGGCACCGCGUCCGGUCCUCGAGCGUAUGGGGCUUCGUCACCCGCUCUUGUAGGCCCGGCCGGCGCUUGCCGACACAUCAAUCUUUUUUCCAGGUUGACCUCGGAUCAGGUAGGGAUACCCGCUGAACUUAAGCAUAUCAAUAAGCGGAGGA